UGGGAACGAGAAGACAUUCGUGGAGGCGUC
RNAcentral lists this non-coding RNA (30 nucleotides) under Homo sapiens (human). The record is from RNAcentral. Lineage: Eukaryota; Metazoa; Chordata; Mammalia; Primates; Hominidae.